This 64-nucleotide transfer RNA is filed under the name Physomerus sp. RNAcentral's name for it is "tRNA-Ile". The record is from RNAcentral. Lineage: Eukaryota; Metazoa; Arthropoda; Insecta; Hemiptera; Coreidae.
AAUAAAGUGCCUGACUAAAGGGCUAUCUUGAUAGGAUAGAUCAAGCAAAAAAUUGCCUUUAUUA